RNAcentral lists this ribosomal RNA (468 nucleotides) under uncultured bacterium. RNAcentral's name for it is "partial 16S ribosomal RNA". It matches the Rfam family "Bacterial small subunit ribosomal RNA", at positions 28 to 507 of the family's 1533-position model. The record is from RNAcentral.
GACGAACGCUGGCGGCGUGCUUAACACAUGCAAGUCGAACGGAAAGACCCUGCUUUUGUGGGGUGCUCGAGUGGCGAACGGGUGAGUAACACGUGAGUAACCUGCCCUUGACUUUGGGAUAACUUCAGGAAACUGGGGCUAAUACCGGAUAGGAGCUCCUGCUGCAUGGUGGGGGUUGGAAAGUUUCGGCGGUUGGGGAUGGACUCGCGGCUUAUCAGCUUGUUGGUGGGGUAGUGGCUUACCAAGGCUUUGACGGGUAGCCGGCCUGAGAGGGUGAUCGGCCACAUUGGGACUGAGAUACGGCCCAGACUCCUACGGGAGGCAGCAGUGGGGAAUAUUGCACAAUGGGCGGAAGCCUGAUGCAGCAACGCCGCGUGCGGGAUGACGGCCUUCGGGUUGUAAACCGCUUUCGCCUGUGACGAAGCGUGAGUGACGGUAAUGGGUAAAGAAGCACCGGCUAACUACGUG